AGUCCGAGUGUUUUCUAUGAGGUAAUGUAAACGAAAGGCUAGUARACUUCACAGAGUUGACAUCAAACCAAUUUUUGUUCCACUUUACUAACCGCGCGAAUGCUCAUGAAACAGUAACUGAAGCAAAUCUUAGAUAAAAUACAAGGGAAAAGCUGAUUUAGACGUUCAAAGUUUACUGUACAUUCAGUGCAGAAUAUUAAAUGAAGACUCUCGAGUUCAAAAAGAAUAGUAAUAAAAAGGCAUAUGAAGGCUUUCAUCUGGACUUCAUAUAGUCCAACGGCUCAAUAACAAUAAGCCAAUUUUGAGCAAGAAGACAACCUAGAAUUACAGCUUGAGUUGAAUGGAUUGGCCUUUAUCUCGAGUCAGAAAUAUUACCCAAUAACAAUAUGCAAAAACACAGACAAAAGACGGUAUCAUUUGCAAAUUCACCUACUUUAAUAGCUUUGAAUAAAACUCCAAAUGACAAGUCAAUAAGUAAAAGUCUCGUUAAUUCCCAUGGCAACAAUCUCCACGAAAACGAUGAUAACGUCGACAUUUCUUACUACUUCUGUGAAAACUCAAGGAAGGAAUUCAGAGGAGCGCAGCAGAAAUAUCGCAGGUAUUGCUCAUUCUGUAGGAAAACACAUGAAAAGUUUAGCUCACGGGAAGGCAUCGAGAGAUUGUUCAGAAAUACAACAAGGGRCAAUAAGAGAUUGAAUUCUGUGUCUUCAUCAAAUGAUUCCGAUGUUUCCUCUGAAGAGAGCUUCGUCACUCGUAUCAARUCUGAAUUUGGACAGACGCGAUCUUCUUCUUUGAAUUCUCUUUCGAUUGAAGGGGAAAAAAUGUAUAAAGCACCGCUGGACAUGGCAAAAGASAGAGUGAUGAAAAGGCAUAAUGUCUCACGUGAAAGUAUCUAUGGAGACAGUAGCCAUGGAGACGACUUCAGUAGAAGAGUUUCAAUUAAUAUUGUGCUUCCGAGUAUUGUCUAUGACUCAGAUCAGUUUCCAUAGGGWGACGCAUUACAUCAUGGAUWUCUAUCAGCACGUCAUAUGUAGAAGGGGGCGGAAGGGCUUGCGUUUACGCAACUGUAGACAAUUUUUUGUGGGCGAUUCCYCAGUUGUUUUCAGACUCAACUUACGACUCCUUCUAUGUAGUUACUUACCUUAGGAGACCUGUUCCUAAGUUUUGAAUCAAAUAUUUGCAGAUUACAGAUGCUGAAUCUGUUAAAAUAGUAUUUUCCUUGUUGCUGUAACCCUAGUUUACACUUUGAAUAUCCUACCCUUCCAAGUAAUGCUUGUACAAAUACUUUUGUAAAAAAAAAUUCAUUUUUCCUGA
Molecule: long non-coding RNA, 1314 nt
Organism: Exaiptasia diaphana
Lineage: Eukaryota; Metazoa; Cnidaria; Anthozoa; Actiniaria; Aiptasiidae
Exons: 2
Source: RefSeq, a predicted model, not a curated record